UACAGAGGGGGCAAGCGUUGUUCGGAAUUACUGGGCGUAAAGGGCGCGCAGGCGGCCCGGAAAGUCGGAUGUGAAAACUCGAGGCUCAACCUCGAGCGUGCACCCGAUACUGCCGGGCUUGAGGCAGGUAGGGGAGAUCGGAAUUCCUGGUGUAGCGGUGGAAUGCGCAGAUAUCAGGAAGAACACCCGUGGCGAAGGCGGCUCUCUGGGACGGUAUUGACGCUGAGGCGCGAAAGCGUGGGGAGCAAACAGG
This 253-nucleotide ribosomal RNA is filed under the name uncultured bacterium. RNAcentral's name for it is "partial 16S ribosomal RNA". It matches the Rfam family "Bacterial small subunit ribosomal RNA", at positions 524 to 776 of the family's 1533-position model. The record is from RNAcentral.